GGAAUGUAGCUCAGUGGUAGAGUGCUUGCCUAAUAUGUGUAAGGCUCUGGGUUCAAUUCCCAGUACCA
This 68-nucleotide transfer RNA is filed under the name Marmota monax (woodchuck). RNAcentral describes it as "tRNA.Ile". The stretch from base 5 to 65 matches the Rfam family "tRNA", at positions 6 to 65 of the family's 71-position model. From Rfam's summary of the family: Transfer RNA (tRNA) molecules are approximately 80 nucleotides in length. The record is from RNAcentral. Lineage: Eukaryota; Metazoa; Chordata; Mammalia; Rodentia; Sciuridae.